UUCAGUGAGCUCUUGGUGACUUCUGGCUGGGGAACCCAUCUUCAGGGGCUAGGUUGAAACUAGUAAUGCCCACCUGGAACCUGGCUGGCCUCCAAUGCAAGAACAAGCAACAGCUUAGCAGAGCACUGGAUCCAAUUGUGCCCCCCAAGUCCUUUUCUCUUUCCCACCCGCCCCAAGCUCAAGACAACCAGACCCAGCGAAGCCAAGGUUAGGGCCAUUCCAGAAGGCUGGAAAAAGAUGAGGCACCAUGGCCAUCACUGUCGGCUCCUUGGGACUCCAGUGCUCACCACCCAUCUGAGGGCAGAGAGACACCCCUUGGAGGCCGGCCGCCCCUUAGAAGCCAUGCUGAGCUGGACCAGGCCCGGGAGUCCAGUUGACCCAGCUCACCCCCUGGGCCUCGGGGCAUGUGCCUAGCUUCAUGUUGAGGGUGUACGUGUGGCUGGCCCGGGAGUGUGAGUGCGGUAGAGGGAGGGGCCCUCCGAGCUGCUCCAUCCGUCCGUUUUAUUAGGGACACAUUAAUCUAUAAUCAAAUACACCUCAUAAAAUUUUUA
RNAcentral lists this long non-coding RNA (551 nucleotides) under Mus pahari (shrew mouse). RNAcentral's name for it is "lncRNA (MGP_PahariEiJ_G0005478.1)". The record is from RNAcentral. Lineage: Eukaryota; Metazoa; Chordata; Mammalia; Rodentia; Muridae.